AUUGAACGCUGGCGGCAUGCCUUACACAUGCAAGUCGAACGGUAACAGGGAGCUUGCUCCGCUGACGAGUGGCGAACGGGUGAGUAAUGUAUCGGAACGUACCAUUCAGUGGGGGAUAACGUAGCGAAAGUUACGCUAAUACCGCAUAUUCUGUGAGCAGGAAAGCAGGGGAUCGCAAGACCUUGCGCUGAUUGAGCGGCCGAUAUCAGAUUAGCUUGUUGGUGAGGUAAAAGCUCACCAAGGCGACGAUCUGUAGCGGGUCUGAGAGGAUGAUCCGCCACACUGGAACUGAGACACGGUCCAGACUCCUACGGGAGGCAGCGGUGGGGAAUUUUGGACAAUGGGGGCAACCCUGAUCCAGCCAUGCCGCGUGAGUGAAGAAGGCC
RNAcentral lists this ribosomal RNA (386 nucleotides) under uncultured bacterium. RNAcentral's name for it is "bacterial SSU rRNA". It matches the Rfam family "Bacterial small subunit ribosomal RNA", at positions 30 to 416 of the family's 1533-position model. The record is from RNAcentral.